This 253-nucleotide ribosomal RNA is filed under the name uncultured bacterium. Its description in RNAcentral is "partial 16S ribosomal RNA". It matches the Rfam family "Bacterial small subunit ribosomal RNA", at positions 524 to 776 of the family's 1533-position model. The record is from RNAcentral.
GACGGACGGUGCAAGCGUUGCUCGGAAUCAUUGGGCGUAAAGGGUGCGUAGGCGGCGCGGUAAGUCGGGUGUGAAAUCUCGGAGCUUAACUCCGAAACUGCAUUCGAUACUGCCGUGCUUGAGGACUGGAGAGGAGACUGGAAUUCAUGGUGUAGCAGUGAAAUGCGUAGAGAUCAUGAGGAAGACCAGUGGCGAAGGCGGGUCUCUGGACAGUUCCUGACACUGAGACACGAAGGCCAGGGGAGCAAACGGG